RNAcentral lists this ribosomal RNA (283 nucleotides) under uncultured bacterium. Its description in RNAcentral is "partial 16S ribosomal RNA". It matches the Rfam family "Bacterial small subunit ribosomal RNA", at positions 28 to 310 of the family's 1533-position model. The record is from RNAcentral.
GAUGAACGCUAGCGGCAGGCUUAAUACAUGCAAGUCGAACGGCAGCACGGGUAGCAAUAUCUGGUGGCGAGUGGCGCACGGGUGCGUAACGCGUAUGCAAUCUACCUUCAACUGGUGAAUAGCCCGAAGAAAUUCGGAUUAACACACCAUAGUAUAUUAGAGUGGCAUCACUUUAAUAUUAAACUCCGGUGGUUGAAGAUGAGCAUGCGUGACAUUAGCUAGUUGGUGAGGUAAUGGCUCACCAAGGCUACGAUGUCUAGGGGAUCUGAGAGGAUUAACCCCA